UAGAUGCGAGAGUAGAGCAUAUCAAUAAGCGGAGGAAAAGAAACUAACAAGGAUUCCCUUAGUAACGGCGAGUGAAGCGGGAAGAGCUCAAAUUUGAAAUCUUCAAGGUUCUACCUUGACGAAUUGUAGUUUAAAGAAGUGUUUUCUGUUGGAGUUUUGGUAAAAGUUCUUUGGAAUAGGACAUCAUAGAGGGUGAGAAUCCCGUAUUUGAUCAUUCUUUCUAGCUGUGUGAUACACUUUCAACGAGUCGGAUUGUUUGGGAAUGCAGUCCAAAAUGGGUGGUAAAUUUCAUCUAAAGCUAAUUAUUGGCGAGAGACCGAUAGCGAACAAGUACCGUGAGGGAAAGAUGAAAAGAACUUUGAAAAGAGAGUUAAACAGUACGUGAAAUUGUCAAAAGGGAAGCGUUUGACACCAGUGUUGUUUAGUUGAAAAUCAAUUCAAUAGUUUUUGAUUUUAAGUAGUAUUGACUUCAUCAGCUUGCUGCUUUCUUUCAGAAAUUAUUGAAUGCACUUUUCAGUUAACAAGUCAGCAUCAAUUUCUUUUGUUGUAAAAGGGUAAGAGGAAGGUGGCUUACGCUUCGGCGUAAGUGUUUAUAGCCUUUUACCUCUGCAAUCGGAGAGAUUGAGGACAGCAGCGUAGACUCUUCGGGGUUAGAUACACUUGUGCUAAGCUAUAGCCUUGUAUAGACAACUUGUUGACUAUGCUCAGUCAUGUAGCUUACUCGCUUGUGCUAUUUUACCUACGCUUAGGAUGUUGACGCGCGUGUGUGCGUG
Molecule: ribosomal RNA, 773 nt
Filed under: uncultured Neocallimastigales
Lineage: Eukaryota; Fungi; Neocallimastigomycota; Neocallimastigomycetes; Neocallimastigales
Description: partial large subunit ribosomal RNA
Rfam family: Eukaryotic large subunit ribosomal RNA
Source: RNAcentral